This 579-nucleotide ribosomal RNA is filed under the name Atractiellales sp. ca_sqma_28_3a. RNAcentral describes it as "eukaryotic LSU rRNA". The stretch from base 3 to 150 matches the Rfam family "5.8S ribosomal RNA". The record is from RNAcentral. Lineage: Eukaryota; Fungi; Basidiomycota; Atractiellomycetes; Atractiellales.
UAUAGCAACGGAUCUCUUGGCUCUCGUAUCGAUGAAGAACGCACCGAAAUGUGAUAAGUAAUGUGAAUUGCAAAAUUCACUGAAUCAUCGAAUCUUUGAACGCAUCUUGCGCUCUUUGGUAUUCCGAAGAGCAUGUCUGUCUGAGUGUCACGAAACUCUCAACCUCCUUUCCUUUGUGAUCGGCUGGUUGGAUCAUGGGCGCUUGCCGGCCAGGUCGGCUCGCCUGAAAUGCAUUUGCGAUGUUGUGUCCUUGUGAGUUGGCCCGACUAGGCGUGAUGGUAACGACGUUCGUCUAGGAUCCCGCUUCGGCGAGGAGCCGCUCCUGUUGGGCGUUUGCCUUCGCAUGAACACUCAUAUCUUUGGUUUAGACCUCAGAUCAGGCAGGAUUACCCGCUGAACUUAAGCAUAUCAAUAAGUGGGAGGAACGAGCCUUAAAAUCAGUGGCGGUGCCUUCUGGCUUCAAGCGUAGUAAUACUUCUCGUUUGGGAGCUCCAGUUGUGUACCUGCUAGAAAACCCCAAUUUUUAAAGGUUGACCUCGGAUCAGGUAGGGAUACCCGCUGAACUUAAGCAUAUCAAUA